CAGUCGCCGCGGUAAUACGGAGGGAGCUAGCGUUGUUCGGAAUCACUGGGCGUAAAGCGCACGUAGGCGGCUAUUCAAGUCAGGGGUGAAAGCCCGGGGCUCAACCCCGGAACUGCCUUUGAAACUAGAUAGCUUGAAUCUUGGAGAGGCGAGUGGAAUUCCGAGUGUAGAGGUGAAAUUCGUAGAUAUUCGGAAGAACACCAGUGGCGAAGGCGACUCGCUGGACAAGUAUUGACGCUGAGGUGCGAAAGCGUGGGGAGCAAACAGGAUUAGAUACCCGUGUAGUCCCUGUCUCUUAUAC
Molecule: ribosomal RNA, 301 nt
Filed under: uncultured bacterium
Lineage: Bacteria
Description: partial 16S ribosomal RNA
Rfam family: Bacterial small subunit ribosomal RNA
Source: RNAcentral